Molecule: ribosomal RNA, 465 nt
Filed under: Vreelandella stevensii
Lineage: Bacteria; Pseudomonadati; Pseudomonadota; Gammaproteobacteria; Oceanospirillales; Halomonadaceae
Description: partial 16S ribosomal RNA
Rfam family: Bacterial small subunit ribosomal RNA
Source: RNAcentral
CCUACGGGAGGCUGCAGUGGGGAAUAUUGGACAAUGGGGGCAACCCUGAUCCAGCCAUGCCGCGUGUGUGAAGAAGGCCCUCGGGUUGUAAAGCACUUUCAGUGAGGAAGAACGCCUGGUGGUUAAUACCCAUCAGGAAAGACAUCACUCACAGAAGAAGCACCGGCUAACUCCGUGCCAGCAGCCGCGGUAAUACGGAGGGUGCGAGCGUUAAUCGGAAUUACUGGGCGUAAAGCGCGCGUAGGUGGCUUGAUAAGCCAGUUGUGAAAGCCCCGGGCUCAACCUGGGAACGGCAUCCGGAACUGUCAAGCUAGAGUGCAGGAGAGGAAGGUAGAAUUCCCGGUGUAGCGGUGAAAUGCGUAGAGAUCGGGAGGAAUACCAGUGGCGAAGGCGGCCUUCUGGACUGACACUGACACUGAGGUGCGAAAGCGUGGGUAGCAAACAGGAUUAGAUACCCUAGUAGUC